UACGGAGGAUCCGAGCGUUAUCCGGAUUUAUUGGGUUUAAAGGGUGCGCAGGCGGAAGAUUAAGUCGGUGGUGAAAUUUUGCAGCUCAACUGUAAAAGUGCCUUCGAAACUGGUUUCCUUGAGUGUAGAUGAAGUAGGCGGAAUUUGUGGUGUAGCGGUGAAAUGCAUAGAUAUCACGAGGAACUCCGAUUGCGCAGGCAGCUUACUAAACCAUAACUGACGCUCAGGCACGAAGGCGUGGGGAUCAAACAGGAUUAGAUACCCCUGUA
This 269-nucleotide ribosomal RNA is filed under the name uncultured prokaryote. RNAcentral's name for it is "partial 16S ribosomal RNA". It matches the Rfam family "Bacterial small subunit ribosomal RNA", at positions 524 to 792 of the family's 1533-position model. The record is from RNAcentral.